This is a non-coding RNA of Cylas formicarius (sweet potato weevil), 65 nucleotides long. NCBI's taxonomy places the organism in Eukaryota, Metazoa, Arthropoda, Insecta, Coleoptera, Brentidae. The record is from the annotation of a RefSeq genome assembly.
AAAUAGUAUGAAGCAAAAAAUUGCCUUUAGUUUCGACCUAAAAUUUAGAUGAAUAAUCCUUACUU